GCGGGUGUAGUUCAAUGGUAGAACACCAGCGUUCCAAGCUGGAUACGUGGGUUCGAUUCCCAUCACCCGCU
This 71-nucleotide transfer RNA is filed under the name Agathobacter rectalis. RNAcentral's name for it is "[Eubacterium] rectale tRNA-Gly". It matches the Rfam family "tRNA". From Rfam's summary of the family: Transfer RNA (tRNA) molecules are approximately 80 nucleotides in length. Their secondary structure includes four short double-helical elements and three loops (D, anti-codon, and T loops). Lineage: Bacteria; Bacillati; Bacillota; Clostridia; Lachnospirales; Lachnospiraceae. The record is from RNAcentral.